ACUCAAAUGAAUAGACGGGGACCCGCACAAGCGGUGGAUGAUGUGGAUUAAUUCGAUGCAACGCGAAGAACCUUACCUGCUUUUGACAUGCUAGGAAUCCUUAAGAGAUUAGGGAGUGCCGCAAGGAGCUUAGACACAGGUGCUGCAUGGCUGUCGUCAGCUCGUGUCGUGAGAUGUUGUCUUAAGUGACGCAACGAGCGCAACCCUCGCUACUAUUUGCCAAGAUUAGAUUCGGAACUAUAGUAGGACAGCUGGCGGAUAAGCCAGAGGAAGGUGGGGAUGACGUCAAGUCCUCAUGGCCUUUAUGAGCAGGGCUUCACACGUCAUACAAUGGUAGGUACAGAGGGCGGCGAACCCGUGAGGGGGAGCGAAUCCUAGGAAAGCCUAUCGUAGUCCGGAUUGUACUCUGCAACUCGAGUGCAUGAAGUUGGAAUCGCUAGUAAUCGCGGAUCAGCAUGCUGCGGUGAAUACGUUCUCGGGUCUUGUACACACCGCCCGU
Molecule: ribosomal RNA, 499 nt
Filed under: uncultured bacterium
Lineage: Bacteria
Description: partial 16S ribosomal RNA
Rfam family: Bacterial small subunit ribosomal RNA
Source: RNAcentral